RNAcentral lists this ribosomal RNA (497 nucleotides) under uncultured bacterium. Its description in RNAcentral is "partial 16S ribosomal RNA". It matches the Rfam family "Bacterial small subunit ribosomal RNA", at positions 36 to 507 of the family's 1533-position model. The record is from RNAcentral.
UCUUCCCUCUGGCGGCGUGCCUAAUACAUGCAAGUCGAGCGAACGGACGAGAAGCUUGCUUCUCUGAUGUUAGCGGCGGACGGGUGAGUAACACGUGGAUAACCUACCUAUAAGACUGGGAUAACUUCGGGAAACCGGAGCUAAUACCGGAUAAUAUUUUGAACCGCAUGGUUCAAAAGUGAAGGACGGUCUUGCUGUCACUUAUAGAUGGAUCCGCGCUGCAUUAGCUAGUUGGUAAGGUAACGGCUUACCAAGGCAACGAUGCAUAGCCGACCUGAGAGGGUGAUCGGCCACACUGGAACUGAGACACGGUCCAGACUCCUACGGGAGGCAGCAGUAGGGAAUCUUCCGCAAUGGGCGAAAGCCUGACGGAGCAACGCCGCGUGAGUGAUGAAGGUCUUCGGAUCGUAAAACUCUGUUAUUAGGGAAGAACAUAUGUGUAAGUAACUGUGCACAUCUUGACGGUACCUAAUCAGAAAGCCACGGCUAACUACGUG